This 266-nucleotide ribosomal RNA is filed under the name uncultured bacterium. Its description in RNAcentral is "partial 16S ribosomal RNA". It matches the Rfam family "Bacterial small subunit ribosomal RNA", at positions 32 to 293 of the family's 1533-position model. The record is from RNAcentral.
AAUCAACGCUGGCGGCGUGCCUAACACAUGCAAGUCGAACGCGAAAGCCCCGCAAGGGGUAAGUAGAGUGGCGCACGGGUGAGUAACACGUGGAGUAACCUGCCUUUGAGUGGGGAAUAACCUUCCGAAAGGAGGGCUAAUACCGCAUAACACCUUUAGGCAAAAGUCGAAGGGUUAAAAGGANCGAUUCGCUUAAAGAGGGGUCCGCGCCUGAUUAGCUAGUUGGUGAGGUAACGGCUCACCAAGGCUCGAUCAGUAGCCGUCCU